ACGUAAGGGGCGAGCGUUGCUCGGAAUUACUGGGCGUAAAGGGCGUGUAGGCGGUCACACAAGUCUAAUGUAAAAAACCGAGGCUUAACUUCGGAGUUGCGUUAGAAACUGUAUGGCUUGAGUCUGGUGGAGGGUGAUGGAAUUCCCGGUGUAGCGGUGAAAUGCGUAGAUAUCGGGAAGAACACCGAAGGCUAAAGCAGUCAUCCAUGCCAAGACUGACGCUGAGGCGCGAAAGCAUGGGUACCAAACAG
This 251-nucleotide ribosomal RNA is filed under the name uncultured prokaryote. RNAcentral describes it as "partial 16S rRNA". It matches the Rfam family "Bacterial small subunit ribosomal RNA", at positions 525 to 775 of the family's 1533-position model. The record is from RNAcentral.